This is a long non-coding RNA of Lucilia cuprina (Australian sheep blowfly), 1732 nucleotides long. RefSeq lists it as uncharacterized. The transcript is spliced from 2 exons. The record is from RefSeq and is a predicted model, not a curated record. NCBI's taxonomy places the organism in Eukaryota, Metazoa, Arthropoda, Insecta, Diptera, Calliphoridae.
AAUUGUGCAAAGGAAAUAAACACUAAUAAAACUAAAUUUAAUACAAAAUUAACAAUAAUUUGCAUUUGUUAAAAAUAAAGGAAUUAUUUUUUAUUUCAAGCUAAAUUUAAAGAUUCUUCGUUGCGUUUCUUAACUCUCUGUCUACACCUAAGAGUAGACUACUAGAUAAAAAAAACCGUUGUAUGGCUAAAUAUUGUUGCUCUUCCUGUUUGUUAUGAUUUUUAUUUUUGUUUUGUUGUUAUCGUUUUCAACACCAAACAAAAACCAGAAAGUAAAACACACACAAAAAAAACACUCAUUGACGAUGAACCAACAGACAAACAUAUACAGAGAUUUUGAAAACAAAACUUGAAAUACAGAAAUAAAAAUAAUAAAUAAGUAGAAAAGAAAGAAGAUUGACAAACAACGAAUAACAACGAUUGAGUAAAUGCGGCAAAAAGAUACGUAUGCGAAUCUAUAAAAUUCAGUCGAGAAAAUACUCUUUUGGAGUACGGGUUGUGGAAACAUUGUGGUUUAUCUUUCGUUUUGCUAAAAUAAAAAUUACAGUGAUUUUUCUUCUUAUACAUUUUGGCCAUUUUCUUUCAUUUUUAUUCACUGGUGCGCCAGAGCCAGCUGAUUAUUUGUGAAAAAAUAAAUAGAAAGAAAAUUUUAAGAAAUAAUGGAAAAAAUGAAAACGCAUGAGAAGUAUUUGCUCAUGAAAAUAGUUUAGAAAAUACGUAAAUAAAUUGUGAAUAAUUUGUUAAUUUUUUUAUAAACGGGCGUUUUUUUUAACAUUUACAAAGUGUAAAUUAAUAAAUAAAUAUUAAAAAGUGGAAGGAAAAAAAAAAGAAUUAAUAAUUGUGAUGAUUAUGAUGAAAAAAUAGCAAGAUGAGAGAGAAGUGUAUUUACAAAAAGUAAAAAAAGAUAAAUAAAUACAUGUUCUCAUGAAUGUGUAUGAGUGAGUGAAUGCCUUUGCGGGAGAGUACGAGAAGAGUGUGUAUUUAACGUUUUCGCAUUCUAAUAAGAAAAAUCUAUAUGGAAAGAAAGAAGCAAUAAGUCAAAAAAAUUUCCAAAAUAAAUACAAAAUUUAGCAACAAAAUUAUAUCAUUUUUAAAAUUAAUAAAAAUAAAGAGAUAUUAAAGAAAUAUUAUCGAUAAAUAUAAGAAAUGAAAACCAUUUUUUUUAUAAAAAAUAUAAGUGCAAGUGUAUGUAUAAGUUGUUAAAAGGCAACAAUAAAAAAUAUAAUAAAAAAAAUAUUGUACUCAAUAUUUAUUGCUCAAUAGUUAAAGUGUAAAGUGGCAAAAAUUCAUUUAUUACAAUUUAAAUUAUAACAAAUAUAUAAUUAAACAAAAAUAUUUAACAAAAGCCUAUAAUAUAACGAUAAUACUAAAAAUAUUUUGAAGAAAAAUCUAUAAAAUUAAAAAUGAAAAUCUAAAAAAAAUCAUUAGUGAAAGCUAACAAAAAUUUACACAGAAAAAAUAGAAGAAGCAGCAGCAAAAUGUUGCAAACAUUGUGUUGAUUUGUGUUUUUUUCUUGUUUCAUCUGUUGUGCUCUCUUUGAAAUUUCUCAACCCAGCCCUCUCUUACGCUCUGUUAUUAUAUUGUGUAUCAGGCAUGGAAAAUUCAGUGCUUUAGUACGUUUUUGUCAGUACUUCUUGCUAUCAAGUUCUCUCUUUUACACACAUUUUUAUGCGAGUAUUUUUUAAUACAUUGUUGAUUAACAUCGUGUUUCCAUAAAAUACAAAAACAAAACG